AGCACCUGCUUACCAGGGGCAAUUGGAACAACACUUGCACCUUUUCGGGUGGCCUGCGGUGGUGCCGCCACAAGGCUGGAUAAAUAGGAAACUCUUUCAGGAUCUUUAGAGGCCAUUUUCAUGACUGUGUUUAGCAAUGAAGAGGCAGGUUUUGGAGGGUUAAAGGGUGAGCAUUUACCAUAAAUGGGGAUUACAGAAAGGUCUGAAGAAUCAGCACAUGGAUCAAAAGCCAAUGCUGUGGAAAGAAGAGAACUGAGCAGGAUUGCAACAAUGGCUAACUCCAUUGAUAUUAUUUUACUCAACCAGAGUCCAGUGAAGUGUGUGUCGAGGAUAAUAGAGAAAUUUAUAGGAAGUUGGAGGAAGUGAGUGAUAAAAGUGUCAUUUUUGGCAUGCAUGCACGUGAAUGAGAGUGAAAGCUUCGAAAAUAUAAUUUAGUUGAAUAAAAAAUUACUUUUUCAGAUAAAUGUUCUUAAAUGACAGCAUAAUUGCAGGAAAAUGUUAUCCCUUCCAAAACUAGAAUGCGUAUAAAAACUUGGACGACACAACAUACGUUGUCAACAAUUAUCAAUUGGUAAUGAGAGACGCACGUGCCUUGUUUCAUUCACCCAUUCAUAGUGUCAAAAGGGAAACCCCCAUGCAACAUUUAUAGCAGUUUGUGCUCAAAUAUGAUUCAAAUCAUAUGAUUAAGAAAACGAGGACUCUAUAUGAACUAGACAAUAAAUAUCGAGAUGGUAAGAGUGUCUUGAAACCCAGAACUCAAAACACCUAAAACAUAAUUUUAACAUAAUAAAGCCACACACAGUGACAGAUCGUAUAUGUAUUAUUAGAAGAAUUAUUGUUUAAUCUUUAAAUUAUGAACAAGUGGAUGUGAAGAUUUUUUAGUGUGUUGUGAAUAGAUUGGAUAAAUAAUAUCAAGAAUUCUUGGCUGACAGUUUGCAAGCAAGUGGUUCCAAAAAUGCUGUCGGUCACGGACUCACGGACGGAUUUUCUAAUUCACGAGCAAUUAUCGAACUUCUUUUUCAUUUUUGUCUUUAAUGAAUCAGCAAUUCUUUGUCUCAUAUAAUUUCUUGUUUAUAUAUGGUAAUUUCGUGCUGUUAAGCCAGAAGAGAGUCUGGUAUGCUACUACUGGAUGGUUUCACACUGCACAAUGAAGAAAGAACUAUCAGCAUUAGACUUGAGUACUUUAGUUGAUAGUCCCAAAAUGGUAGAAGAAACGUGCCUCAGUAAGUCAAUUAGAAAUAUAAGUAAAUGUUUAGCUUCAUUGCGGAGACUAGUUUAUUUUUAGUGACCUGUGUCGAGACUGACUGAGUUCGUUUGAUGCUCUCAGCGAGGGACUUUUAUUUGAUUUGUUAUCACCGGUAGACCGUGGGUCAUAGUGGUGCUGUAAAGUCCAUUAAUUCACUCACUCCAACAAAAAUCAACGAUCACCCAAAAAAAUCAACUUUAUUUCUAAUCAAGUUAAAGUAGAUGCAUGAAUUAUUUUCGAUUAUCUUAUUAAUCCAUUGCUAAUUGAAAUAUCUAGGGUUAUUGAUCUAAUUCACUGAACUUUGCAUAAAGUUUUCACUAAAAUUUAAAAAGUUUCCCAUUAAUCAAUGAACUUUUGUAAUAUAUAAUCUCAUCCGUUGCUCAAUCAACGAUCGUUCGAAAAAGCAAUGGAAUUGAUAAUGUGGCAAAUGGAGUCCUGUGGCAUGAUAUUACAAUUAGUGGAUGCCAAAUCAUGAAGUUGUUGUUGACACGAAGUAUUGUUUUAAAAGAAGUUUUUUACACCAUUUAAAAAAGAAAAUAAUCGCAAGCAUUUGAAAUUUCGCAAUUAUAGAGAGUGACGUCUGUGUUUUGUUUGUUAUAUUCCGCAAGUGUAUGAAUCAUAACAAGUAAUAUAUUGGACUAAUAAAUCAAGAUAUCGUUCCCACUACUAUCUACCAUUGGUUAAAUUAUUCCAAACUUUAAUUUGAUUGAAAACAAAUAAUAAGGUUUGUGAUUAGUGUUUAAAUUAUUCUAACUAAAUAAAAGUCACACACAAUUUAUCAAAUUUGGGUUUUAAAAGUAUGACAGUGGAUGCUAAGACUUACAAUUUUAUCUAUGGAUCCCCUUUAAUUUUCCAAUCAAUAUUUAUUACUAUUGCAGCAUUAGGUCAAAUUUUUCCAAAGUAUUCAAUUUACCCCUCUCGAUUUCUUAUUGAGUCUAUUUAAUUAAUUCAAUCUCAUCUCUAUGUGAAUCAGUCUUAAUUAAGCGUAUUAUUUGUUCUAAGAAUUCAUAUAAUAACUGCAACAAUUAAGAUAUGUAUCUCUACACGUUAUACUAAAUUACCAGAUUUUAAUAUGUGGUCUAAAUCUAAAACUCACCUCUCAAUUCGUAAUAGAUUCACAAAGUCAUUAAAUUAUCGAUUAAGUAAUUCAAAGCAUUAAAUACAUAAUUAAAAACAACACAUAUUUAUAAUGAAGGAACUUUAAUCUUGAAUAAAAGAAAUAAAAAAUCACACAUAAAUUACAUUAUUCAGUAUCCGACUAAGGCGAUUCAAAGUGCACUAGAAAAGAUAACUCAGAGCACUACAAAUUACUAGACAUGUCUUUUUUUCCAAUUCGAACAUUUACUACGUUAAAAAUGGGCAUUCUCGAAUCUUCAUCCUGAUGUCCAAACUUUGAAUCUUGCUCUUUUUCACCAAUUUUCACUUCUUUCUUUCAAUUCCACUUCCAUUCAUCAAAUUUCACCUAAUAAACAAAAUAAACAAUAAAAGAGGCUUAAUUGUUCAAAAGAACUAUUAAAUAUCUAUAUUUUUUGAAGUUCAAAUAAAAUAAAUUUAUCAGCCUGUGUGGUGGUUGGUUUUUGAUGAUGAAUUCGUAAUAACAAUUGAAUUAGGAAGAAACCUAAACAAUUUUGGAGAUUUUGCUAAGUUGGAAAAAAAUUGGAAAAAAAAAACAAUUUUGUGGAGGCGGGAGAAAAAGAUGGAUAUAGAUGAGGAGAUUCAGGUUUUGGGGGAGGCGAUUUUCGGAAACAAUGGAAGACGGCCUCUAUUUUCCCCAUAGUGUUUGGGGUGAUUUUGCAGGGGGAGAAAGGCAUGUUAUCACGCGUUUUCUACAACGUGAAAUCGUCGCAAGUAUACGGUAUCAAAUUUUGUAAUAUUAGAAGUAGAGUGUCAAACCCAUAAGGAUCGAUAUUUGAUUCCUACCAAUUACCAUGAUUAUUUUAGCUUUUACUUUAUCUAGAAAAUUAAAUUUAAAAUCGAUAUUUUUAUAUUAAUCUAACGUGGAUGUGAUGACAGUUCAAGAAAGUUAAAGCAUUUAUAAGAGAUUUGUCAACGUAAGAAAGCAUAGGGAAUGAUUUUACUACCCUAUCAACAAUGUUUUUCGACUUCGAUACUUUGAUUUCAAUGGACCUUUCUCUAAGAUACUUUAAUUCCAGUAUCUAUUCCGAAUCAAGCAUAUAGAAAUUAUCAAGUACGUGGUUAUUAAGUGAAAUAAGCCUCAAAGAUUUCAUAUUUUUCUCUCAAAACAUACAAAAUCUAAGUUUUGUUAUUCUUAGAUCACACCUAAACCUCCUUCUCUCGAAUGCCAAAAUUAAGAACAUCUAAUUAUUCAAUUAUUGAUCAGGUAAUUGUAAGUAAUGCGCAAGAAUAAACACAAAUAAAUUAAUGGAAAGAUCAAAAGAUGAGGCGUGACAAUGCUCCAUAAUUGAUUGUGUUUCCUCCAUCAAGACUCAGCUCCUGGUUAUCAUAUCAGCACAAUUCUUGAAGAAUAGUAGAUCAUCCCAUAAAUAUGACUUGACACCAUGCAAGAAUUUCUUCUAUUAAUGAGAAGUCAAUUCAGGCGACAUCUUUCCACAAGCCAAGUAGUUAACAAAAUCAGCAUACCAUGGAAUCCUUGAUGAAACCACUAAAAGAAGCUCGUAAAAAAGUUGUUUGAAUCUUACUGUUAUCUAUUACUUUUUCAUUUUCUAACCGUGAGAAAUGAUCAAAAAUUACAUCGCCACUAAACAUGUCUCACCUACAACCUCCUUCCCAUUUACAUAUGUUACAGAAUCCCCAUUUACCUUGUCCUCCACCCCAAAUACAACCACAUAAUAUGCCUUCAAUUGCCUCCCGGGCAUAGCCCAAUGGUGCAAAGGACGGAGGUGAGGUUAUCUCACGUCUUGCUGACAGCCACAGUGUGGGGGUUCGAUUCCUGAGACAUGAAAUUGGACUCCUUGUAGGCGUAGCGUACAGGCAGCUCUUGUUCUCUGGCCUGAUGGGGCACAUUCCGCGAUUUACCUCCCUCACAAAGCUAUAGGGGGUGCAAGGAUCUCUGUCCGUCCCAUCAAUGCCAAUGCCCGGUCCUAUGGUAAUAAUAGGCAGUUACUGCUUUGCCGAUCUUUUAUAUUUGAACUUCACCAAAUUGUGAUAUUUAACAGUUUCCUCUCUAUGAGUGCAUGUUCACAUGCACAAAUGGGAAUACUCCUGCAUGUAUAUUAAUAUUGCUUUAGGUUUUCUGUUUGCUUCUUAGUGUUCUGCUUAGGAUCUUUAGAAAUCAUAAAUUUGCCAACUGAGACAAGCUGAGAUUAUAUGGUGGCAAGAACUAUUCUUAUACUCAACAUCCGACACAAUGCUCAUAUUGGAGUCUCCAAAAAUUAUUGACCAUAGCCUAUUUUACUAAACAUUAUUGUUGACUAGGCUUUUUAAACAAAUCCCCCAAAUUCCUUCCCUGUUGGAAGUAUCAUUGUGCAAACCAUCAAAUAAAGGGCACUGUGAACUCGUGCACACAAAAAUACUUUGAAUACAUCUAGAUAACGCAAUACUCAAUUUCGUUCAAAUACAGAGAUAUAGAAGAUGAUGAUGGAUUUGAAAAGAAACCUAAUUACAAAGCUCACGAGCAAUACCCAAGCGAUAAUUUACAGUGUCGAACAAGAUCCUCAGGUUUUGCUGCUGGAAAUUGGCUAUAAUAUUUAACACAGAGUUCACAUUAUUUGGUGCAGCUGCCAUAGCCAAGCAAGCCAAAGAACCUGAACUACUGUGUAUCAAACUGUUCUCCAUUGGCAGCACCAAAUCCAUUCCUGUAAAAUGGAGAACUACAGGUGGAGCUAUAUCUUCAUUUGUGGCCAAAAAGCAGGUAUCGAAUGCCCCAAGUGAGCUAAAUGGCCCUUUCACCUGUUUUCUGAACUCAUCCCGAAUUGCAUUGUAUACGGGUUGAACAAAACGGGUUAUAACCGUGCCCGAAUCUAUGAUGGUACCUGCUCCUGUGUUUGGGUCAAAUGCUAGGGGUUCUUGGGCUAUGGGGACCUGGACCUUGCCGAUACUUACUCCGGUGAGGUUCACGUAGUAUAGGGAUGGACGAUGCGGGUUUUUGAGAAGUGGGGUGGUUCUGAUGUUCUUGGGUUGACCCAAGGGUCCGAGUUUGAGCGAACCUGAGAAGUAAUAGGACUUGAAGCUUGGUAAACAGUAGGAGAAUACACCUGAAUAAAGGGACCCGGAUUGUGAGAGUAAUGACAUGGAGCCCCGACCCAUGCCCAAUAACCCCUGGGGCGGUACUGACCCUCCGGAAACCGAAUUGAUGCAUCCAAAAGCGUAAUUCGGAAUGGCAUCAUUGGCUAGCCAGAGUGUGUCAUGGGACAGAAUGGCGGAGAAAGAGGAGUCGCCGCCGUAGGACUGGUUGAACGAGCAUGAAGUGGCAGCGUCAGUGGCCGGGCAGGAGACACCGCUUACUUUGGUGCAUUCGGGGACUGAGCAGUCUAAAGACGAGUAAGUGGAGGAGGCCUUUGGUGUGAACACGGCCGAGGAGGCAGCGCAACCGGUGCAGCCACUGCAUGGAACCCAUGCAGCAUCACUGCUUGUAUCCAACACCAUGAACAAGAGCUGACCCGGAUUCCCAAUCUUCGCCCGGAGAACAUAGUUUCCGAUGUUCAGCACCUGCUUACCAGGGGCAAUUGGAACAACACUUGCACCUUUUCGGGUGGCCUGCGGUGGUGCCGCCACAAGGCUGGAUAAAUAGGAAACUCUUUCAGGAUCUUUAGAGGCCAUUUUCAUGACUGUGUUUAGCAAUGAAGAGGCAGGUUUUGGAGGGUUAAAGGGUGAGCAUUUACCAUAAAUGGGGAUUACAGAAAGGUCUGAAGAAUCAGCACAUGGAUCAAAAGCCAAUGCUGUGGAAAGAAGAGAACUGAGCAGGAUUGCAACAAUGGCUAACUCCAUUGAUAUUAUUUUACUCAACCAGAGUCCAGUGAAGUGUGUGUCGAGGAUAAU
Molecule: long non-coding RNA, 6205 nt
Filed under: Olea europaea (common olive)
Lineage: Eukaryota; Viridiplantae; Streptophyta; Magnoliopsida; Lamiales; Oleaceae
Description: long non-coding RNA (OEUR_LNC013217)
Source: RNAcentral